Molecule: non-coding RNA, 78 nt
Organism: Podarcis lilfordi (Lilford's wall lizard)
Lineage: Eukaryota; Metazoa; Chordata; Lepidosauria; Squamata; Lacertidae
Source: the annotation of a GenBank genome assembly
GCUUCCAGGAAUAGUUCAGUCAGUAAGAGCAUGAGACUCUGAAUCUGAGGGCUGUGUGUUUGAGCCCCACGUUGGGCA